AUUACUUAAAUUGUAUAUACAAGAUGAUCCAAGUCAAUCAGAGUUCGGCACGUACGUAUUCCUCAUGAAAAAGUAAGUAAAAAAAUGUUGUGAUGUCAAUAGUUUUUAAAUGGUGAAUGUUUGAAAUUAUCCAACCAUAAAGCUUAAUGUUUUUGCUGUCAAGUGCGGCGCAACUAAGCGGCUGGCCUGCGCUUUGACGGAUACUACCAAAUGGUACGAUGCCGAACAAAUAUUGCAAAGGUUCUGUGAAAUCUCUAUUAACAUCUACUGCUGUAUUCUUAAACUGCGUUCAGUUUAAUUGACAAGAAGUAAUGUCAAUUGCAAAUUUGAUAAAACAUUAUUUAUAUAAGUAAACAUGUAUUUUUUAAAUACAUUUUGGGUAUAAACAAAUAAACCAAAUUUUGAGUAUAAGUUAAUAAAUAAAAAUCAUAUUAAUUAAAUUAUCUGAUCAAAUAAUAAUAAAACUAUCAGUCAACAAACAUUUCUGAAAUAUAUUUAAAAAGAAAAACAAAAUACAAAGAAAAGAACAGCCAAUUUUCGAGUUAAUUUAGGGGUAACGCCAUUAGAAUUUUCAAAAAAUCGAUUUUUUUGCUUAAGUGAUGUUUUAAGAUCUUAAAAAUAAGGUACAAAAGGUCUAAAAGCGAAGAAAGAUCCCUAAGUGUCAUUUUUGGAAAUUUAAAGCAUCUUACUUUUUGGUAAAAUUUGAAGCGUUUGCAAAGGGAUUCUUUUGAGAAUAAUAAAAGGAUUAGUUACUUACAGUGAAGCUUAAGUAAGGUUUUUUUUAGUUUUCUAGUGAAUGUAUAGAAGAAAAAGGAAUGCAUUGACCAUGUUCAAAAAUGAAUGGGUAUCUCGCAACUUGAAGAAAUCCGCGAAAGGAUUUGGAGGAAAAAGCAAAUUGAUUGGGAAAUUUAUAGAUGAAUUGUUACUUUUUUUACGGAUUAACUAUCCGUCGUAAUUGUGAAUUAAUAGAAAAUAUGAGACGAGAGAUCUGGGCGACCCUUUAUCAUAAGUUAUCCACAGUCGAAAAGCCACAGCACGAGAAAUGCCCGCCCAGUAAAGAUUUGUGGUGCAAGUGGCAGGCGAAAACCACUUAUAAAAUGGCUGAAUUUAAGCAUAAGCCAGCUUUUCUUCAAAUGGUUUUUGAUGCUAUUUAGUCAAUCUAUAAAGAAUUAAGUAGUGACGAUCUUCUUCAACGUUGCUUAGAUGGCUACACGCAAAACAGUAACAAAAGUUUUAACGCUUUGAUUUGGUCAAUGGCUCCAAAAACAGUUUCCAGCGGUAAAAUUAUUCUGGAUACUGCAUGUAAUAUUGUUGUUUGCAUAUACAAUGAUGGCUACUCAAAUAUCAUAAAAAUCAUGGAAGAGUUAAGCAUGUCAAUUGGACCGAACUGUUAUAAUUACUGCCUCGAGACUGACGCGCGGUGCAUCAAAUAUUCGGAGCGCUUGCUGACAAAUGCUGCAAAAGAGGCUUGAUCGUCUUUAAAAUUGGUCAAGAAGGAUGAAGAGGAGGAGAAUAUCAAUAAGGAAGGCCAAUUGGUAUGGUGCAAGUAUUGUAGAUUAAAGCAAAAAUUGGAGAUUUUGGUACGACAGUGAGGCACCUUUUGAAAGAAGUCAUCGUUGCCAAACUUUAUUACCGCUAUUUUGGAAUAAAAAUAUACAACAAAAAUUUUUUUAUACUUAAAAGUAUGUAGAAUAAGGUACUUAAAACGUAUUUUGCAUUACUGUUUUUGUUUUCCUGUAAAAAAUGCAAACUGCCUUCUCGCCACUCCGCGGAUCGGUCAUCAACCACAAGCGCCUGGCCGAACAUCCGCCAGGUGUAGAAAAAGCGCUGCGCGCCCAUAACAUAAUUUAAACGCGCCUAUGCGAGCGACGAGGCAUCUACGCGUCGAGUAUCUCGACGAACACGCGCGCCGAUUUGAACUGGCACGCGCUAUCGGCGUGCUCGCUCGCCUCCGUUCGCUUUCCGAGCGACCAAUCUCGAGCGGCUGGGAUGCUGACACCGAAACGAACCGAAUCGCCCCGAUACCGAACAUCCCCGACGUCUUGAGAUUUGGGUAUAAAAGAGCCAGAGCAGCGAGAUGCUGCGCUUUUUUUCCGCCGACUAGUCUCUGAAGAAGUCUCCCGAGGUAGUCUGAGGUCAAGCGUCUUGGCCUCUGUCGAGUGUUCUUGGCGGCUACCGCUCUUGCACCCGUCUCUCCUCACUGAAGUUGGGCUCAAGCGUGCUUGGGCUCUGGCAAGAGUUCUUGCCUGACCGGCAUCCUAAUACCGAUCUGAUCCCGUCGCAGUGGCUAAAGACAAACGGGGUAAAGCGUCUUUGCUUUCGUCGAGCGUACUCGAUAGCCGCUGCAUCCCAUCUGCAGAUAGUAACGCGCCGCAGAUUUGUCUGAUUUAAAGAGACGUUCAGCUGGGCGUCACUCCGCGUCCCGCCGCCGCGCCGGCGACCGUGAAAUCCGACGCGAUCUAGUUUUGGGAAAGUACGAACAGAAAAAGCGGACCGCUCGCCGAGCCGAACAACAGCUCACGUCGAAGACCCGCACCGUUGGAAAGCUACGCGCACCGAGUCAGGUGCAUUACCUAUUUUUUCGGCCUACGAAUUAAACCGUUAAUUUGCCGUAUGUCGAUCGCCACCGGUGGAUUAUACGGCCGACAACGUGAAUUUACCGGUGACACGUUUACGUUUAUCUUGUAAAUACUUUAUAUUACGCUAUUACGAAUUACUUUGUCUAUUUUUUAUAUUUUGUAUUCAUUUCUCUAAGUCGAUUGCUAAAUAAACUUGUACAUAUUUUAUACAUUCAAA
Solenopsis invicta (red fire ant) is the source of this 2796-nucleotide long non-coding RNA. RefSeq lists it as uncharacterized. NCBI's taxonomy places the organism in Eukaryota, Metazoa, Arthropoda, Insecta, Hymenoptera, Formicidae. The record is from RefSeq and is a predicted model, not a curated record. The transcript is spliced from 2 exons.